Aedes albopictus (Asian tiger mosquito) is the source of this 43-nucleotide non-coding RNA. The record is from Rfam. NCBI's taxonomy places the organism in Eukaryota, Metazoa, Arthropoda, Insecta, Diptera, Culicidae.
GAAAAGGUUCUUAGAACCACCAUUAAACCAAAAUAAAAGGUAU